RNAcentral lists this ribosomal RNA (429 nucleotides) under uncultured bacterium. RNAcentral describes it as "bacterial SSU rRNA". It matches the Rfam family "Bacterial small subunit ribosomal RNA", at positions 29 to 507 of the family's 1533-position model. The record is from RNAcentral.
AACGAACGCUGGCGGCAGGCUUAACACAUGCAAGUCGAACGCCCCGCAAGGGGAGUGGCAGACGGGUGAGUAACGCGUGGGAAUCUACCCAGUUCUACGGAACAACACAGGGAAACUUGUGCUAAUACCGUAUACGCCCCAAGGGGGAAAGAUUUAUCGGAAUUGGAUGAGCCCGCGUUGGAUUAGCUAGUUGGUGAGGUAAUGGCUCACCAAGGCGACGAUCCAUAGCUGGUCUGAGAGGAUGAUCAGCCACACUGGGACUGAGACACGGCCCAGACUCCUACGGGAGGCAGCAGUGGGGAAUAUUGGACAAUGGGCGCAAGCCUGAUCCAGCCAUGCCGCGUGAGUGAUGAAGGCCUUAGGGUUGUAAAGCUCUUUCAGUGGGGAAGAUAGUGACGGUACCACAGAAGAAGCCCGGCUAACUUCGUG